Molecule: unclassified non-coding RNA, 749 nt
Filed under: uncultured Inocybe
Lineage: Eukaryota; Fungi; Basidiomycota; Agaricomycetes; Agaricales; Cortinariaceae
Description: sequence contains ITS1, 5.8S rRNA gene and ITS2
Rfam family: 5.8S ribosomal RNA (bases 260-414)
Source: RNAcentral
AAGUCGUAACAAGGUUUCCGUAGGUGAACCUGCGGAAGGAUCAUUAUUGAAAUAGCACGACGGGAAGCUGUUGCUGGCCCUAGUGGCCGUGCACGCUUCUGUCCUUCAUUUCUCCAUCUAUUUGUGCACCUCUUGCGUAGACCCCUCUGUUAGGACUGCUUUGCAAAAUUGAUUGUGGGCUUUCCUUGUUUCUACGUCGUCAUAUACACCAGUGUAACGAUUUGGAAUGAAUGGAAUUUUGAUGCAAUAUAUAAAGCACAACUUUCAGCAACGGAUCUCUUGGCUCUCGCAUCGAUGAAGAACGCAGCGAAAUGCGAUAAGUAAUGUGAAUUGCAGAAUUCAGUGAAUCAUCGAAUCUUUGAACGCAUCUUGCGCUCCUUGGUUAAUCCAAGGAGCAUGCCUGUUUGAGUGUCAUUAAUGUCUCAACCACGCCGUGAGGUCGUGGCUUGGAUUUGGGGGUCACAGGCUCUGAACUUGUGGUCUGCUCCCCUGAAAUACAUGAGCGGUGAACGACCCUCUCCGUCGAGAUGUGAUACAUGUCUGCAUCCAGUUGAGGGUUUUGCUGCUGCGAGAGUUGGAUUUGAUAAACUUGGCCUCAAAUCAGGUAGGACCACCCGCUGAACUUAAGCAUAUCAAUAAGCGGAGGAAAAGAAACUAACCAGGAUUCCCUUAGUAACUGCGAGUGAAGUGGGAAGAGCUCAAAUUUGUAAUCUGGUGGCCUUUGGCCGUCCGAGUUGUAAUCUAAAGAA